UGGGGAAUAUUGGACAAUGGGCGAAAGCCUGAUCCAGCCAUGCCGCGUGUGUGAAGAAGGUCUUCGGAUUGUAAAGCACUUUAAGUUGGGAGGAAGGGCAGUAAGCGAAUACCUUGCUGGUUUGACGUUACCGACAGAAUAAGCACCGGCUAACUCUGUGCCAGCAGCCGCGGUAAUACAGAGGGUGCAAGCGUUAAUCGGAAUUACUGGGCGUAAAGCGCGCGUAGGUGGUUCGUUAAGUUGAAUGUGAAAGCCCCGGGCUCAACCUGGGAACUGCAUCCAAAACUGGCGAGCUAGAGUAGGGCAGAGGGUGGUGGAAUUUCCUGUGUAGCGGUGAAAUGCGUAGAUAUAGGAAGGAACACCAGUGGCGAAGGCGACCACCUGGGCUCAUACUGACACUGAGGUGCGAAAGCGUGGGGAGCAAACAGG
Molecule: ribosomal RNA, 429 nt
Filed under: Pseudomonadota bacterium
Lineage: Bacteria; Pseudomonadati; Pseudomonadota
Description: Proteobacteria bacterium partial 16S ribosomal RNA
Rfam family: Bacterial small subunit ribosomal RNA
Source: RNAcentral